The submitters of this non-coding RNA (74 nucleotides) gave its source as unclassified sequences. The record is from Rfam.
UGCUAUAUGUGUAGGCAUAUAGGAAAAGAAUUGUUGUCAACUGUUCGACUAUGAGAUUUGAAAGAAUUUCAUCG